Molecule: ribosomal RNA, 499 nt
Filed under: uncultured bacterium
Lineage: Bacteria
Description: partial 16S ribosomal RNA
Rfam family: Bacterial small subunit ribosomal RNA
Source: RNAcentral
AUUGAACGCUGGCGGCAUGCUCUACACAUGCAAGUCGAACGGUAACAGGGUGCUUGCACCGCUGACGAGUGGCGAACGGGUGAGUAAUGCGUCGGAACGUGCCGAGUAGUGGGGGAUAACGCAGCGAAAGUUGUGCCAAUACCGCAUACGUACUGAGGUAGAAAGUGGGGGACCUUCGGGCCUCACGCUAUUCGAGCGGCCGACGUCUGAUUAGCUAGUAGGUGAGGUAAAGGCUCACCUAGGCGACGAUCAGUAGCGGGUCUGAGAGGAUGAUCCGCGACACUGGGACUGAGACACGGCCCAGACUCCUACGGGAGGCAGCAGUGGGGAAUUUUGGACAAUGGGCGAAAGCCUGAUCCAGCCAUGCCGCGUGUCUGAAGAAGGCCUUCGGGUUGUAAAGGACUUUUGUCAGGGAGGAAAUCCCUAGUGCUAAUAACACUGGGGGAUGACAGUACCUGAAGAAUAAGCACCGGCUACUACGUGCCAGCCGCCGCAGUAA